UACGAAGGGGGCUAGCGUUGCCCGGAAUCACUGGGCGUAAAGCGCACGUAGGCGGAUCUUUAAGUCGGGGGUGAAAUCCUGGAGCUCAACUCCAGAACUGCCUCCGAUACUGGGGAUCUUGAGUCCGAGAGAGGUGAGUGGAACUCCGAGUGUAGAGGUGAAAUUCGUAGAUAUUCGGAAGAACACCAGUGGCGAAGGCGGCUCACUGGCUCGGUACUGACGCUGAGGUGCGAAAGCGUGGGGAG
RNAcentral lists this ribosomal RNA (245 nucleotides) under uncultured bacterium. RNAcentral describes it as "partial 16S ribosomal RNA". It matches the Rfam family "Bacterial small subunit ribosomal RNA", at positions 524 to 768 of the family's 1533-position model. The record is from RNAcentral.